AGAUGGUGUAACUGGGUCUCACAACAAGCACGCGGCAACCGUGACUUCCCUCUUUCUCUUCUUAGCUGCGUUCUCAGCCUUCAUCUACAGCCCAGAUUCUCGGUUCCAGUUACAUGACCAAGCUGGGGACUAUGCAGUGUUGGCCACAUAAGGAGCCAGUCUAUAGCCUUUCUCAGGGCAACUGCUCAGAAUAACAGAUGGAUAACAGGCUAGAACGUCACCAGAACCAAUGUGCUUCUUACCAGGCUCCCUAACUGCACUUGACUCAGGCUCAGCGGCACUGCUCCUAAGGAACACGGCAAGCAAGAAGUCUUCAUGCUGAGAAACAACAAUAAA
Castor canadensis (American beaver) is the source of this 336-nucleotide non-coding RNA. The record is from RefSeq and is a predicted model, not a curated record. Lineage: Eukaryota; Metazoa; Chordata; Mammalia; Rodentia; Castoridae.